AAGUCGUAACAAGGUUUCCGUAGGUGAACCUGCGGAAGGAUCAUUACCACACCUAAAAACUUUCCACGUGAACCGUAUCAAACCAAAUUGGGAGUUUGUUUGGUAGCGGCUAUUGGCAAUUUUUGCUGGUUAGCUGUUGCGGAGCAAGCUCUAUCAUGGCGAAUGUUUGGACUUCGGUCUGAAUUAGUAGCUUCAUUUUAAACCAUUUCUUAAAUACUGAUUAUACUGUAAGGACGAAAGUCCUUGCUUUUAACUAGAUAACAACUUUCAGCAGUGGAUGUCUAGGCUCGC
RNAcentral lists this unclassified non-coding RNA (291 nucleotides) under air metagenome. RNAcentral's name for it is "partial contains small subunit ribosomal RNA, internal transcribed spacer 1, and 5.8S ribosomal RNA". The stretch from base 1 to 46 matches the Rfam family "Eukaryotic small subunit ribosomal RNA", at positions 1786 to 1831 of the family's 1831-position model. The record is from RNAcentral.